AUUGAACGCUGGCGGCAGGCCUAACACAUGCAAGUCGAACGAGUGGCGGACGGGUGAGUAAUGUCUGGGAAACUGCCCGAUGGCGGGGGAUAACUACUGGAAACGGUAGCUAAUACCGCAUACCAUCGGAUGUGCCCAGAUGGGAUUAGCUAGUAGGUGGGGUAAUGGCUCACCUAGGCGACGAUCCCUACCUGGUCUGAGAGGAUGUACAGCCAGACUGGAACUGAGAAACGGUACAGACUCCUACGGGAGGCAGCUGUGGGGAAUAUGUCACAAUGGGCGCAAGCCUGAUGCAGCCAGGCCGCGGGUAUGAAGAAGGCCUUAGGGUUGUAAAGUACUUUCAGCGGGGAGGCGUUACUCGCAGAAGAAGCACCGGCUAACUCCGUGCCAGCAGCCGCGGUAAUAC
RNAcentral lists this ribosomal RNA (406 nucleotides) under uncultured bacterium. Its description in RNAcentral is "partial 16S ribosomal RNA". It matches the Rfam family "Bacterial small subunit ribosomal RNA", at positions 30 to 526 of the family's 1533-position model. The record is from RNAcentral.